AACGCGAAGAACCUUACCUGGGCUCGAACGGCUAUUGAUCGGUGGUAGAAAUAUCGCCUUUCCCGCAAGGGACUGUAGUCGAGGUGCUGCAUGGCUGUCGUCAGCUCGUGCCGUGAGGUGUUGGGUUAAGUCCCGCAACGAGCGCAACCCUUACUCGUAGUUGCUACCCGCAAGGGAGAACUCUACGAGGACUGCUCCGGAUAACGGAGAGGAAGGUGGGGAUGACGUCAAGUCAGCACGGCCUUUAUGUCCAGGGCUACACACGUGUUACAAUGCAUGGUACAGACUGUUGCGAACCCGCGAGGGGGAGCUAAUCGGCCAAAGCCAUGCUCAGUUCGGAUUGCAGUCUGCAACUCGACUGCAUGAAGCUGGAAUCGCUAGUAAUGGCGUAUCAGAUCGACGCCGUGAAUACGUUCCCGGGCCUUGUACACACCGCAUAC
RNAcentral lists this ribosomal RNA (440 nucleotides) under uncultured bacterium. Its description in RNAcentral is "bacterial SSU rRNA". It matches the Rfam family "Bacterial small subunit ribosomal RNA", at positions 958 to 1397 of the family's 1533-position model. The record is from RNAcentral.